AGAACGAACGCUGGCGGCAUGCCUAAUACAUGCAAGUCGAACGAACACUCUGACUUCGGUUGGGGUGUUAGUGGCGCACGGGUGCGUAACGCGUGGGAAUCUGCCCUUGGGUUCGGAAUAACAGUUGGAAACGACCGCUAAUACCGGAUGAUAUCGAAAGAUCAAAGAUUUAUCGCCCAGGGAUGAGCCCGCGUAGGAUUAGCUAGUUGGUGGGGUAAAGGCUCACCAAGGCGACGAUCCUUAGCUGGUCUGAGAGGAUGAUCAGCCACACUGGGACUGAGACACGGCCCAGACUCCUACGGGAGGCAGCAGUAGGGAAUAUUGGACAAUGGGCGAAAGCCUGAUCCAGCAAUGCCGCGUGAGUGAUGAAGGCCUUAGGGUUGUAAAGCUCUUUACCCGAGAUGAUAAUGACAGUAUCGGAGAAUAAGCCCGCUAACUCCGUGCCAGCAGCCGC
Molecule: ribosomal RNA, 454 nt
Filed under: uncultured soil bacterium
Lineage: Bacteria
Description: bacterial SSU rRNA
Rfam family: Bacterial small subunit ribosomal RNA
Source: RNAcentral